This 513-nucleotide ribosomal RNA is filed under the name uncultured bacterium. RNAcentral's name for it is "bacterial SSU rRNA". It matches the Rfam family "Bacterial small subunit ribosomal RNA", at positions 15 to 518 of the family's 1533-position model. The record is from RNAcentral.
GAUCCUGGCUUAGGAUGAACGCUAGCUACAGGCUUAACACAUGCGAGUCGAGGGGCAGCAUAAAGUCAGCUUGCUGAUUUGAUGGCGACCGGCGCACGGGUGAGUAACGCGUAUCCAACCUUCCCUAUAGUAGGGGAUAGCCCGGCGAAAGUCGGAUUAAUACCCUAUGUUCUUCAUAGAUGACAUCUGAAAUGAAGCAAAGGUUCACCGCUAUAGGAUGGGGAUGCGUCUGAUUAGGUUGUAGGCGGGGUAACGGCCCACCUAGCCGACGAUCAGUAGGGGUUCUGAGAGGAAGGUCCCCCACAUUGGUACUGAGACACGGACCAAACUCCUACGGGAGGCAGCAGUGAGGAAUAUUGGUCAAUGGGCGGGAGCCUGAACCAGCCAAGUAGCGUGCAGGAAGACGGCCCUACGGGUUGUAAACUGCUUUUAUGAGGGGAUAAAGUGGGCUACGUGUAGCUUAUUGCAGGUACCUCAUGAAUAAGGACCGGCUAAUUCCGUGCCAGCCGCCGC